GGGCCUCCCUGCAGGAACCAGGGCUUUAGCAGUCAGACCUCACAGCACCCAACUCCAGUUCGGCCACAUCUGUCUUGUACCAAUAAUCUGUAGGGAAGAAAGAAGCUGAAACUCCUGAAGCAAUGUGGAUCAAUUCCUCAAUGACUACAGUUAAUUUUUUGACUAAUGGUGUUUUCUUAUGCUGGGUUAUAUAAAAAAGUAUGACUGCAGAAAUUUAAGAAGAAAGAAAAGCUGCUAGAACCAUGAAGUAAUUCUGUUUUCUGAAAGAACAGCCCAAGGAAAUGAUAAAUUACCAAGGAUUAAUAACUCACUGAAGAAACAGUAAAGUUAAUCCUAGAUACAAUGAACUCUGGAUGUAACACACAGCCCUGGGAGAUGUUACUUUUAUUCAAUGUGUCCUGGGAGGCCCUUUUUAGAAAACAGAAUCCAUCUGAUUACUUCAGGUAUAUGCACAGGGUAUAUUCAAGACCCAGGAAAUGGUAAUUUUCAGGCCCUGAAAUAUUGUGUUCCUUGCUCACAUUAAAAAGUGAAUAAACGAAAGCACUGGGUUCCUUCAGCUCAGAACAAACAGCCUCUUCUCGUGCACUCCUAAACAGAAAACAGUAUUACAAAGCCACCAGGAGGCAGCAGAUUAAAAUAUUUGUGCUAUAAAGAACAACCAUUAAAAAACCCAAACCCUGCCCCUCUCCCAAAUCUUCAAUCUGAUAUGGAGGAAAUGUGUUCUCCCAGCCCCCUGAUGACCAUUUUGCUUUAUCCACUGAUCUCUAUUCUCUGCAUACCUGAAAUCAGUAGCGAUUCCACUGCUGUCAAACAGCUUUAUGUAGGAGCAUGGUUAAAAUGGAAAUCAAACUGAUUUCUGGAAUAGCACUGAGUGGAAAAAAAAUGAGCAAAAGAAGUAGGUAAAAGCGAUAUGACAAAAUAUAAAACCUCCCAACAGAUUAAACCACCUCUGGGGUUUGCUGAAAAAUUCCAGCCCCCUGAGCUCUCUCCUGACUACCUUCUUUUGUUUACAGAAUGCCACCCAAGAAGAAGCACUGGAAUUGUGACCAACCCAGGACAGGCUCUGGCUCCCUGCCACACCAACGCCGCUGCUCCAGCUACGCUGCCCUGGCCCCCGUCCAGCUCUGCAUUCCCUGACCCAGGAAAGCUGCAAGUUGUUUCCUGUCCAUCGUCCUCCUUUUCUGCUGGUAUAAAAAACUGUCAUCAGUUGUGGCUCAGCAUGGUUUAAGACAGCCUGAGAUCACUACAGACAUAUAUGCUGAACAUAGAUAUGAAACACAGUGGGGCAGCAACAGAGAUGUUGGAACUACCUAAAACAUUUCUAUAUAUGGCUCUACGAGUCCAAGGUAUGUGCACAGUCCCCCAGCAAAGCAGGGCAUGAGCAGUGUGCAAUCAGCCCCAGGAAAGGCACUUGGCAACCAGCCCAAGGAUAAACCACAACAGCAAAGACUCGUGAUUUCAGAACCAAAAUUCAGCUCCUAACAAAGUGCACUGGUGCCUCUGGUGUCUGAAUUCAAACAAGACACUACACAUUUUCCACUGCAAAGAUCACGAUUAAUUGGGAAAGUAAAACGCAAGCACAGUGUCAGCAGAAAUCACAAAUUUAUUAAUCCUUAAAUAUAUCAAUCAUUUACCAUUAUGGCAAGAAAUAUGUACACUGUGUCCCAUGGUAAACUGCAGUGUUCCAAAAUGACAGAAGUGUAGAAUUCAGUUGUGGUGGAGAGAACAAAGCACAAUUUCCUCACGUCUUGGUGUGGAAGACAAACUUGGUCUACAGUAAUACGUCAACACCACAUGCUAUGUUAGAAGUAUAAAAAAAACACCCUACACCUAAUUCAUUAAUUUUAAAUACAGUUAUGCCACUUAUAGCCGCUUCACAAAAAAAAAAAAAAAGAAAAAAAAGAAAAAAAGAAAAAAAGAAAAAAAAAAGAAAAAAAAUUAAUGAGAAAAAAAUGAGGCCAUUACUUUUUUCACAGAUCCCAUUGGCAGGUUAAUAUGGCUCAACACAUUUAUUGUAGAUGCUUAUUUUAAAUAUAUAUUGUUUAAAGUCAUGUAGUAAUUAUCAGAGAAGCUUAUGUCCAUCUACCAUACAUCCACUAGUAACAACAUCAACAUGUUUAAGAACUGCUUCUGAUUAGUAAUCAACACAGAAAGGUGAAAUGAUACAAAUUAGGAAGCUUUCCCAUUUUAAAAAGUCCUGGCUGCCGAGUUGUAAAUUUUGGAUGGCUAAAAAGGACACUGACUGAGAUACCAUGCACUGUACAGCGCUGCGGGGAACAGGAGCCUGCUGCUAACGGAACCAUGGGAGAUCAGGAGCAGCCCAGCCUGGCCUUUCCUGAAGGAAGUGGAAGGGAACAAACUGAAAUUCUCGUGAGGAUUCAUUUUUACAGCAACGUGAGGGAAGGAGAACCAGUCCCUGCUGCAAAGUCUGCGUUCCGCGCUGCCGGCGCGGCGCUCCUCCCUCGGCCCGGAGCCGGGACAAACCCGUCAGCAUCGCCGGCCUCGACAGGGAACGCUGCCAGGGGAGCUUGGGAAACCAAGAGAGGAUUGAGGGGAAGAGGAGGAGACACACAAACCUGUGGUGAAGUGUUAGGGUCCCACGGAAAACCGGUGUCUCCGUAAUUCGUUUCCAGAGAAGCAACAGCAGCAGUGUCAUGUAAGUAAACUCUUCAUACUUAGCUUUAAGG
Molecule: long non-coding RNA, 2687 nt
Organism: Parus major (Great Tit)
Lineage: Eukaryota; Metazoa; Chordata; Aves; Passeriformes; Paridae
Exons: 2
Source: RefSeq, a predicted model, not a curated record